CGCCAGGAUACUACAAGCUCAGCUUAAAAUCCAAAGGACUUGACGGUGUCCCAUAUCUCUAGAGGAGCCUGCCCCACAAUCGAUAAUUCCCGCUAGACCUUACCAUCUUUUGCAACCCCAGCUUGUAUACUUCCGACGCAAGUUUACCAUUUGAACGAUCAGUGGGCUUAAUGUUCCCAUUUAACCAGUACGUCAGGUCAAGGUGCAGCCUAUAAGAUGGGGGUGGUGGGCUACAAUUUCUAAAACUAGAACAUACGAAAACCUGUAUGAAAAAUCAGAAAUGAAGGUGGAUUUAGAAGUAAAAAGAAAAUAGAGUGUUCUUUUUAAUAUAAGCGCUGGGACGAG
This 345-nucleotide ribosomal RNA is filed under the name Ptychadena aequiplicata. Its description in RNAcentral is "partial 12S ribosomal RNA". It matches the Rfam family "Bacterial small subunit ribosomal RNA", at positions 870 to 1383 of the family's 1533-position model. Lineage: Eukaryota; Metazoa; Chordata; Amphibia; Anura; Ptychadenidae. The record is from RNAcentral.